RNAcentral lists this long non-coding RNA (11279 nucleotides) under Ananas comosus (pineapple). RNAcentral describes it as "long non-coding RNA (ACOM_LNC012430)". The record is from RNAcentral. Lineage: Eukaryota; Viridiplantae; Streptophyta; Magnoliopsida; Poales; Bromeliaceae.
GUCAAAGGAGCAAUAAUACUUUGUUUGCUGCUCUACCAUGAUAUUGCUCCAUCAACAUGUAGAAAAAUAUACCCAGUUGUAAACUUUCUGGUAUCUGGGCAUCCAGCAAAAUCGAAGUCCGAGUACCCAAUCAGCUCCAAGUGAUCUGGUCUCCUGUAUAUCAGCAUGUGAUCCAAAGUUCCCUUCAAAUACCUCAUAACCUUCUUAGCAGCCUCCCAAUGCUCCAUACCUGGAUUACUUUGAUACCUGCCAAGUAAUCCAACGGCAAAAGCAAUAUCCGAACGUGUGCACGUCUGUGCAUACAUAAGACUACCAACUGAAGAGGCAUAGGAUAUGUUUUUCAUCUGUUCAAUUUUUAAUUGGUUCUUGGGACACUAAAAAGCAUUGAGCUUAUCCCCGUUCUAGAGAGGAGCAACACUGGGCUUACAAUUAUGCAUUUCAAAAUUUUCCAAAACUUUCUUUGUUUAGGCCUUUUGAGAGAGACCGAGUAAAUCCUUAUGUCUAUCCUUUUUAUUUCAAUACUAAAAACAUAUGAGGCCUCGCCUAAAUCUUUCAUUUCAAAAUUUUGUCACGCCCCGGAUUAUACGUUCCCCGGGCAUGCCGACAAAUCCGCCGUAUACAAAGAAAUUUUCCCUAUAUACGAAGCAAUAGCUGUAGAGACCGGGAAUUUUAGCUGAGGCUUGUCGACAGCUCUGGAGAGUGUCGGGUCAAGUCCGGGUCGCGUUGGCGCGAAGUGGACGCCAAACGGGCCUUGUGGGAACUUGAGAGCAGCGUGUAUCUUGAAGAUCUGCGAAAUAGCAGAUUUUCAGUGAGCUGUACCGGUACACUUUGACAGGUAUGGUGCUGUUUGACUUUUUCCUCUCUAGUCUUGUCACCACUUUUCCCCUUACCUUAAGAGCAGGGAGGAGAGAGGGGGGAGGGCUUCUUCCUCCUCUGCUGUGCUUCUUCCUCUUCCCCCUUGGCUGAGUAGAGGUGGUGGAGGAGCUCAAGGGAGAAGCUCAAGCUUCGUCGACGACGCGCCGCGGAGCGGAUCGAGGGUGCUUUCAACAUUGUGACGCUGCGAGGAGGCCGGGCGACUGCUGUCCCUUACCAUCCUCGACGUGGUGCUGCUCCCAGGGCGGUUGUCGAGGUGAGUAGGCCACCGAAAUCCCUUCGGUUACUUCAAACUACUCCAUUAUCGAGCUUCUCUGCUGCUGCUGCUGAUUCCAGUGUCGACUGUUGGCGUUUUGGCUUGUUCUCUGUGUAGGAGCGUCGGAUCGCGGUGAUUCUUGCGUCAUUGGAUCCGGGACUUCGAGACGAAUCCAGAGGAUCCUUACUCGCCCGAUUUGGAGAAGGUUUGCCCUGUAGAAACCCCUUUUUACUGAGCUGCUGUUUGCCGAGCAGAUUCUGAAUUGCUGAACCGUAGUUUCCAGCGUCGACGCUCAGUGUUUUGGCUUGUUCUCUGCGUAGGAGCGUCGGAAUUCAGCGAAACUUGAUUUACUGGAUUCGCGGCUUCGAGACGAAGAUUCUGAGCCCAAGAUUGGAAUUUUUAGAUGAGGUUUACUUGCUCGAAACCUAGUCCUAUUGCGCUGCUGUUUGUCGAGCAGAAUCUGAGGUGUUGAUCUGCAGAUCCCAGCGUCGGCCUUCGGUACUUCGGCUCGUGCGCGACGUAGGAGCGACGGAUCGCGACGAAAUCGGGUUUGCUGGAUUCUAGACUGCGAGAAGAAUCCACAGAGUCCAAGUUUGCUGGAUUUGGAAAGGUUAGCUUGAUCGGAUUUAAAGGUUUCUCAGCCACUGUUUUUCGGACAGUUUCGUGGAUUGAGUCAUCCAUGGUCUUAUUUUCCGCAGCAGGUGGAUUCGGUUUUGAGCGGGACGCGUUGGGUUUUCGCGGACUCGGCCACUCUCUUCGUUGCCAGGAGAUUAGCGAUCGAGGUGGGUUAAUCAUCGGCUUUUCAUCCUAAGCGCAUAAUAGUCGACAAGUAUAAUUUCAGCUUUUGACUAGUAUAUGAUAGCUCGAAUUCAUGGAUCAUAGUAUGUUAAAUCUGAGUUUUGGAGCAUGUUUAGCAAGUAUUUAAAUUAUACAUGUUGGACGUGGACUUGACUUAGGAGAAAACCACGGUUUGAUCGUCAUUUGUAUUACACUACCAGAUUUAGCUCUAGGAGCCGUACUGUGCGGUAUCGUCGCGGGGGAGUGUGACGGAUACCCAGGGUAGUGUAGCUUAUUUCCACGCUCGUGCUGUGGAUGCCGAGCUUUGUUACAGUAGAGUCAGACCGUUGGUGUUGUCGGGGACCGUCGGGGGUUGACGGUGGGCCCAGAUUACUGUUUUGGUUACAGAUUGUGCCAAGGGCACGAGGUAUAUUGGUGGUUAGACCCUGUUUAUUUGAAUUAUGCCUGUGAGAGCUUGAUUGAGCUCGACAGAGAUACGCUUGCAUACUCGGUUGGUUCGCGCCCACGAGUGCCGCUCCGGAGUCUGGCUUAGUGCUUUUGCGUUGGUGUCGCUGUGUCCUAGUUGUUGGACUCGCUCUCCACUAGCUACCCCAGGGGUAGUUGUUAGUGUAGCUUCGACAGGCGGGACGGGUGUAUCACAGUCCCACGUAAAAUUGGGUCAGUUUUUACUUGUUCUACAGAGGGUUGUACUAGAGCAGGAUAGCAUAGUGGUAUCUAGCUGUAGAGUGUUUCCAGCUUUUCCUUACUUUUCUUGCUUACCCUGUAGACUUAGUGGGUUGACCGAUGAGGUUUAGGGCGGCACCCACUGAGGACUACUUAUUUUUACAGUAGUUCUCACGCCCCUUUUCUUCCACCGUUGUCGCAGGACCUUCGGUCUCGGCUGCUGCUCCUUCUGAGGCGGAUCGCGGCAAGGGCGUCGCGAGCUAGAGCCCUUCCCGACUGGUGCUGAGUUAGCAGUUUUCCCCUACUGCAGGUAGUGUGCUCGUGUUUUGGGAGCUAUGUACAUAUUUGUGAACUCGUUGGAGCGAGUGCUUUUGUAUAGAGAUUUUUGUAUGUAUAUAGACUCGUUCUUUCUCUACCUGUUCAGUUUGUUUUAGUUUCAGCUCUACGCUACUGUUCGUAGCCUUGUGUGUUGUACAGGUACUGCUACGCUUCGUAUACAGGAAAAAUUUCUUGUAUACGGCGGAUUUGUCGGCGUGCCCGGUGAUCGUGCAAUCCGGGGCGUGACAGAUUAAGUUGGUAUCAGAGCUUAGCAUUAGGUCGUUGGGACCUAGGAAACCUAAGCUGGCAAACCUUAGGAAGGCUUGACGCGAGAGGCGCGAUUUAACGCGAAAGUCAUUGAUUGAUUGUUCUAACUCAUCCUUGAGUGGAGUGAGUGACUGAAGGAGUGUCUGUUUCGGUCCAGGAAAAUUAUGUUGGCUGCAGACGACAUAAUUUUACGGAGAAACAGGGACCACCUUCGAGACUUUCGUUGAUUGGGUCGAGUGUUUGUGCUUAUCUGACCAUGGUCUCCUUUUGUGCAGCUAUGCAUCGACGUAGAGGACGACCGCCGCUUGGGGGUCGUGCCCCACCGCCACCACCCCGGAUACCAGAACAGAUGGAGCAGGGCACCCGACCCGAGACGGGUGUACCUCCCGUGGUAGAGCCGAGUGCACGAGCGGAGGCGAGUGCACAGUUGGAUCUGAGCGCACAGUUGGCUGCCCUGACCGAGGUGACGAGACAGCAGGGAUUACUGUUACAGCAGAUGUGCGAGAGAUUAGCCUCGUCGCCCAGUACAGCAUCGGGGGCACCAGCUCAGCCUACUCCACCUCCCCCUACUCCACCUACUGCACCAGUCGCCGCCAUACCCCCACCAGCAGAGAUACCUCCAGCACCAGUUGCGCCUGCUAGAGUACCAGUCCAGUCGACUGCGGCGGAGCAAGAGCGGAUGACAGAGUUACUGUUUCGUUUUCGCCGCCUUGACCCACCGACGUUUGAUGGGGAUUGCACUGAGCCCUGGGUAGUAGAGAGCUGGAUCAGCGCAAUGGAGAGACUAUUUGAGGACAUGUACGUCCCGGAGGAGGACCAGGUUCAUCUAGGGGUCCAUUGCUUAGUUGGGGACGCCCGCGAGUGGUGGAAGAGGAUGAGGCGCGACCAGGGAGUUGUAGCUUCACAGACGAGCUGGGAUGAGUUCUGCGGGAUGCUGUACCGCACGUACUUCCCUGUCAGUGUAAAGCAGAGGAUUGAGGAAGACUUGAAGAGGAUACAGCAGGGGGAUCGCACAGUCCAGGAGUAUGUUCGGGAGUUUACGCGGCUCCUGAACUGUGUGCCUUUUGCAGCUAGAGACGAGGCACAUCGAGUGUACCUCUUCGAGCAGGGUUUGAGGCCGGAUCUCUACAGGUUUGUGCGGGCGCGGAGGUCGAGGACUUUGGAUGCGUCCAUUGAGCAGGCACUGUGGGAGGAGAGAGGUGAGGCGACGCUUCGAGAGCGAGCCCAGGGGCCGGGACCCAGUCAGGACAGGAAGCGCCCCGCUCCGGAGGACGGUGGACAGUCGAGCAGCAGGCGUCCGCCGAGGCCCCCACGAUCACGUUUUCAGGGUCGUGGAUCCUCGGGGCGUCAGCGUGCCAGGGAUACCCGUCAGCGGGGGCAGCCACAGAGGACACAGCAGUGUGUGAUCUGCGGAGGACCACACGGGGCCCGACAGUGUGAGCAGCGGGAGGGCCGGUGUUUUGGAUGCGGGCAGCCAGGACACAUUAGGGCAGCUUGCCCGCGAGCGGCAUCGUCGGCACCAUUGUCAGCAUCAGCUCAGGCCGGAUCCCAACAGUCGUACGGGACACCGCCGAGCUACCGUCGCGAGGAUAGGGCGUCUGUACCGCGACAGGGUGAGCAGCGGCAGCAGGCUCCGAGCGGCAGGGUAUACGCAGCCCAGGUGGAGGACUCUUCAGCAGCCGACCGAGUGGUGGCAGGUAUCACUUUACUUUCUGGUACUAGAGCACGUACUUUAUUUGAUACCGGCUCAUCGCAUUCUUUUAUCAGUCGAGCUUUUGCAUUAUUACAUGGUCUAGAGUUAGGGUUGUUGCCACAGACCCGGGAGAUCCAGAUCCCCGACCAUGUACUACAGGUGGUAGAGUGUUGUAGGUCGUGUCCAGUGCAGUUAGAUUCGUGGAUCUUGCCCGUAGACUUGUUGGUUUUAGGGCAGCUGCAUGACUUCGACAUUGUGCUUGGCAUGGAUUGGCUGGCGCGGUACUACGCGACUAUUGACUGUGGAGAGAGGACGGUGACACUCCGUGAGCCAGGCCAGGAGGAGUUCACUUUCAGAGGCUGCAGGAGCACGUUGUUUGCCACGUGGAUUUCUUCAGCGAGAGCUCGACAGCUGAUGAGUAGAGGGUGCAUUGCUUUUCUAGCGAUGGUUACAGAGGUACCUACGGCGGCACCGAGACUCGAGGACAUCCCUGUAGUUCGCGAGUUUCCGGAUGUGUUCCCCUCGGAGUUGUCGACUAUGCCGCCGGAGAGGGAGAUUGAGUUUGUGAUUGAUGUAGUUCCGGGAACUGCACCAAUCUCGAAGGUACCUUACAGGAUGGCACCGGCAGAGCUGAGAGAAUUAAAGGCGCAGCUUCAGGAUUUGAUGGAUAAAGGGUUCGUGAGACCCAGUGUAUCGCCUUGGGGAGCACCAGUGUUAUUUGUAAAGAAGAAGGAUGGUUCACUUAGGUUAUGUGUUGAUUACCGAGAGCUGAAUAAAGUGACCAUCAAGAACAAGUAUCCUUUGCCGCGCAUUGAUGAUCUGUUUGAUCAGCUGCAAGGAUCUCGUGUCUUCUCGAAGAUUGAUCUCCAGUCAGGUUACCACCAGCUGAGGGUGAGGGCCGAGGACGUUCCCAAGACGGCUUUUAGGACUCGGUACGGGCAUUAUGAGUUUACAGUGAUGCCUUUUGGAUUGACGAAUGCCCCUGCCGCGUUCAUGGAUUUGAUGAACAGGGUGUUUAAGCCGUUCUUGGAUAGAUUUGUAGUAGUCUUCAUCGAUGAUAUCUUGAUAUACUCCCGUAGCGAUGUCGAGCAUGAGGAGCACUUGAGGAUAGUGCUACAGCUUCUGCGAGAGAAGGAGUUGUAUGCCAAGUUAAAGAAGUGCGAGUUCUGGUUGCGGGAGGUUACUUUCUUGGGUCACGUGAUUUCUGCAGAUGGAGUGGCAGUGGACCCGAAGAAGAUUGAUGCUAUUCGGGAUUGGCCCAGACCGACGACGGUGACUGAGGUGCGGAGCUUCCUUGGAUUAGCAGGAUACUACCGUCGGUUUGUGGAAGGCUUUGCGAAGCUUUCCACACCCCUCACUCGAUUAACUCGUAAAGGAAUUAACUUUAUCUGGAGUGAGGAUUGUCAGAGGAGCUAUGACGAGUUGAGACAGAGGUUGACAUCAGCUCCUAUCCUUGCCCUUCCUGUUAUGGGGGAAGGAUAUGUGAUCUACAGUGAUGCAUCACACAGCGGGCUGGGUUGUGUGUUGAUGCAGCAUGGUAGGGUAAUUGCUUAUGCUUCACGGCAGUUAAAGGAUUUCGAGAAGAAUUACCCUACGCAUGACUUGGAGCUAGCCGCGGUAGUCUUUGCCUUGAAGCUGUGGCGGCAUUACUUGUAUGGUGAGCACUGUGAGAUUUUUACUGAUCACAAGAGUCUCAAGUAUCUGUUCACCCAAAAGGAGUUGAACCUGAGGCAACGCCGGUGGUUGGAGUUACUGAAGGACUAUGAUAUUAGCAUUCAGUAUCAUCCCGGCAAGGCGAAUGUGGUGGCAGAUGCAUUGAGCAGGAAGGCAGUGCAGAGCUCGUGCCUGAUGAUCACUCAGCAGAGGCCGUUACUUGAGGAGCUACAUCGGUUGAGACUAGAGGUCGUGUCCCCUGGGUCUACUGCAAUACUAAUGUCUAUGGUUUUGCAGCCUACUCUGUUGGAUAGGAUCCGAGAGAAACAGAGUGGAGACCCACACUUGCUGAGGAUUAGAGAGCAGUUAGAGAGGGGACAGGCAGAGGGUUUCGCCGUGGACAGUUCGGGAGUACUGAGGUACAGGGACCGACUGUGUGUACCCGUGGAUUCUGAGAUCCGAGCAGACAUUUUGAGAGAGGCUCAUUGUUCUCCUUAUACAGUUCAUCCUGGUGGAACCAAAAUGUAUAAGGACUUGAAGGCACAGUUCUGGUGGAAUGGAAUGAAAAGAGACAUUGGCAGAUACGUGGCUCAGUGUUUGACUUGCCAACAGGUGAAGGCAGAGCAUCAGGUGCCUGCUGGCAAGCUUCAGAGUCUGCCAGUGCCAGAGUGGAAAUGGGAGCAGAUCACAAUGGACUUCGUCGUGGGUUUACCUAGAGCUCAGGGUGGCUUCGACGCUAUUUGGGUGAUAGUAGACAGACUGACUAAGUCUGCUCACUUCCUACCAGUUCAGACACCUGGUCAGAGAGAGACUCGCGCAGUUAUACCUGGAUGAGAUCGUCAGACUGCAUGGCGUGCCAGUGUCGAUAGUAUCGACAGGGACCGAGGUUUGUAUCACACUUUUGGAGGAGUUUGCAGACAGCCUUUGGGCACUCAUUUGCAUUUAGCACGGCACUUUCACCCACAAGACAGAUGGUCAGUCAGAGCGGACCAUUCAGACUCUAGAGGACCUGCUGAGGCAACGUCCUGGACUUUGGAGGCGGGUGGCAUCGCAUUUGAGACUGGUCGAGUUUGCAUACAACAACAGCUAUCAGCGAGCAUCCAGAUGGCUCCGUUUGAGGCGUUGUAUGGACGCAAAUGCGAUCCCCUUUGUUUUGAAGUGAUGUGGGUGAAAGGAAGACUCUUGGGCCUGACAUUCUGUUAGAAGCUGAGGAAAAGGUGAGAGUGGUGCGACUUACACCUUUGACUGCCAGAGCCGCCAGAGACUAUACGCCGAUACCAGGAGGCGAGACUUGGAGUUUCAGAUUGUGGAUCAUGUAUUUCUUAAAGUCUCGCCAUCUAAAGGGAUUCGCAGAUUUGGAGUGCGUGGAAAGCUCAGUCCACGGCUACAUUGGCCCUUUUGAGGUUUUGGAGGCGAGUUGGGCCAGUUGCUUACUAGGAUUGCUCUACCCCCCGCGACUAGUCGGCACCCACGAUGUUUUCCACGUCUCGGCAUUGAGAGAAAUGUAUUCGAUCCUUCUCACGUGAUUGACUUCACUCCGCUCGAGAUAGGCGAGGACCUGCGAUACGAGGAGCGACCGUUGCGGAUUCUUGCUCGUGGAGAAAGAAUUGCGCAACCGGGUCAUACCGUAUGUCAAAGUACAGUGGAGUAAUCACGAGGAGCGGAGGCGACGUUGGGAGCCGAGACGGUGAUGAGGAGGCGUUGUAGGACGCAAUGCCGAUCCCUUUGUUUUGGAGUGAUGUGGGUGAAAGGAAGACUCUUGGGCCUGACUAUUCUGUUAGAAGCUGAGGAAAGGAGAGUGGUUUCGACGACACCUUUUGACGCCCAGAGCGCCAGAGGAGCACGCCGAUACCAGGAGGCGAGAACUUGAGUUUCAGAUUGGUGAUCAUGUAUUCUAAAGUCGCCAUCUACAGGGAUUCGCAGAUUUGGAGUGCGUGGAAAGCUCCAGUCCACGCUACAUUGGCCCUUUUGAGGUUUGGAGCGAGGUUGGGCCAGUUGCUUACAGGAUUGCUCUACCCCCGCGACUAUCGGCACCCACGGAUGUUUCCACGUCCUCGGCAUUGAGAAAAUAUGUAUUCGAUCCUUCUCACGUGAUUGACUUCACUCCGCUCGAGAUAGGCGAGGACACUGCGAUACGAGGAGCGACCGUUGCGGAUUCUUGCUCGUGAGACAAAGAAUGCGCAACCGGGUCAUACCUGUAUGUCAAAGUAGCAGUGGAGUAAUCACGAGGAGCGGGGGCGACUGUGGACCGAGACGGUGAUGAGGGGGGCCUAAUCCUACUCCUGUUUGACGUGCCGAGUGAGGUAUGCCUGAGUUUCGAGGACGAAACUUUUUGUAGUGGGGAGGAUGUAGAGACCGGGAAUUUAGCUGAGGCUUGUCGACAGCUCUAGAGAGUGCGGGUCAAGUCCGGGUCGCGGUGGCGCAAGUGGACGCCAACGGGCCUUGUGGGAACUUGAGAGGCAGCGUGUAUCUUGAAGAUCUGCGAAAUAGCAGAUUUUCAGUGAGCUGUACCGGUACACUUUGACAGGUAUGGUGCUGUUUGACUUUUCCCUCUCUAGUCUUGUCACCACUUUUCCCCUUACCUUAAGAGCAGGAGGAGAGAGGGGGAGGGCUUCUCCUCCUCUGCUGUGCUUCUUCCUCUUCCCCCUUGGCUGAGUAGAGGUGUGAGGAGCUCAAGGGAGAAGCUCAAGCUUCGUCGACAGCGCGCCGCUGAGCGGAUCGGGAGGCUUUCAACAUUGUGACCUGCGAGAGGCCGGCGACUGCUGUCUUACCAUCCUCGACGUGGUGCUGCUCCCAGGGCGGUUGUUCGAGGUGAUGUAGGCCACCGAAAUCCCUUCGUUACUUCAAACUACUCCAUUAUCGAGGCUUCUCUGCUGCUGCUGCUGAUUCCAGUGUCGACUGUUGGCGUUUUGGCUUGUUCUCUGUGUAGGAGCGUCGGAUCGCGGUGAUUCCUUCGUCAUUGGAUCUGGGACUCGAGACGAAUCCAGAGGAUCCUUACUCGCCCGAUUUGGAGAAGGUUUUCCCUGUAGAACCCUUUUUACUGAGCGCUGCUUUGCCGAGCAGAUUCUGAUUGCUGAACCGUAGUUUUCAGCGUCGACGCUCAGUGUUUUGGCUUGUUCUCUGCGUAGGAGCGUCGGAAUUCAGCGAAACUUGAUUCCUGGAUUCGCGGCUUCGAGACGAAGAUUCUGAGCCCAAGAUUGGAAUUUUUAGAUGAGGUUUACUUGCUCGAAACCUAUGUCCUAUUGCGCUGCUGUUGGUCGAGCAGAAUCUGAGGUGUUGAUCGCAGAUCCGCAGGUCGGCCUUCGUACUUCGGCUCGUGCGCGACGUAGGAGCGACGGAUCGCGACGAAAUCAAGUUUGCUGGAUUCUAGACGCGAGAGAAUCCACAAGAGUCCAAGUUUGCUGGAUUGGAAAGGUUAGCUUGAUCGAUUUAAAGGUUUCUCAGCCACUGUUUUUCGGACAGUUUCGUGAUUGAGUCAUCCAUGGUCUUAUUUUCCGCAGCAGGUGAUUCGGUUUUGAGCGGACCGCUUGGGUUUUCGGCUAGCUCGGCCACUCUCUUCGUUGCCAGGAGAUUAGCGAUGCGAGGUGGGUUAAUCAUCGGCUUUUCAUCCUAAGCGCAUAAUAGUCGACAAGUAUAAUUUCAGCUUUUGACUAAUAUAUGAUAGCUCGAAUUCACGGAUCAUAAUAUGUUAAAUCUGAGUUUUGGAGCAUGUUUAGCAAGUAUUUAAUUAUAACAUGUUGGACUUGGACUUGACUUAGGAGAAAACCACGGUUUGAUCGUCAUUUGUAUUACACUACCAGAUUUAGGCUCUAGGAGCCGUACUGUGGCGUAUCGUCGCGUGGGAGUGUGACGGAUUACCAGGGUAGUGUAGCUUAUUUCCACGCUCGGUGCUGGUGGAUCCGAGCUUUGUUACAGUAGAGUCAGACCGUUGGUGUUGUCGGGGACCGUCGGGUGACGGGUGGGCCCAGAUUACUAUUUGGUUACAGAUUGUGCCAAAGGCACGAGUAUAUUGGUGGUUAGACCCUGUUUUAUUGAAUUAUGCCUGUGAGAGCUUGAUUGAGCUCGACAGAGAUACGCUUGCAUACUCGGUUGGUUCGCGCCCACGAGUGCCCCCGGAGUCUGCUUUAGUGCUUUUGCGUUGGUGUCGUUGUGUCCUAGUGUGUUGGACUCGCUCUCCACUAGCUACCCCAGGGGUAGUUGUUAGUGUAGCUUCGACAGGCGGGAACGGUGAUCACAGUCCCACGUAAAAUUGGGUCAGUUUUUACUUGUUCUACAGAGGGUUGUACUAGAGCAGGAUAGCAUAGUGGUAUCUAGCUGUAGAGUGUUUCCAGCUUUUCCUUAACUUUUCUUGCUUACCCUGUAGACUUAGUGGGUUGACCGAUGAGGUUUAGGGCGGCACCCACUGAGGACUACUUAUUUUUACAGUAGUUCUCACGCCCCUUUUCUUCCACGGUUGUCGCAGACCUUCGGUCUCGCUCUGCUGCCUUCUGAGGCGGAUCGCGGCAAGGCGUCGCGAGCUAGAGCCCUUCCCGACUGGUGCUGAGUUAGCAGUUUCCCCUACUGCAGGUAGUGUGCUCGUGUUUUGGGAGCUAUGUACAUAUUUGUGAACUCGUUGGAGCGAGUGCUUUUGUAUAGAGAUUUUUGUAUGUAUAUAGACUCAUUCUUUCUCUACCUGUUCAGUUUGUUUAGUUUCAGCUCUAGCCUACUAUUCGUAGCCUUGUGUGUUGUACAGGUACUGCUACGCUUCGUAUACAGAAA